AAAUACUGCUUCGCAUACGAUCACUAAAGUUAAGCAACAUCGAGCCUGGCUAGUACCUAGAUGGGUGAUUGCUUGGGAAUACCAAGUGU
Molecule: non-coding RNA, 89 nt
Organism: Acanthosepion pharaonis
Lineage: Eukaryota; Metazoa; Mollusca; Cephalopoda; Sepiida; Sepiidae
Source: the annotation of a GenBank genome assembly